Pteropus vampyrus (large flying fox) is the source of this 104-nucleotide small nuclear RNA. Lineage: Eukaryota; Metazoa; Chordata; Mammalia; Chiroptera; Pteropodidae. The record is from Ensembl.
AGCUCAGUUUGGCAGCAAUAUACUAAAAUGGGAACAAGCAGAGAAGAUUAGCAUGGCAUCUGCAUAAGAAUGACACACUAGUUUGUGAAGUAGUUCAUAUUUUA